GUAUUAAGUUUAACUUCUAAGGAUUUAAAUUUCUAGAAGGAAUUGUUGAUGGAUAAAGUACUAUUAAUAAUUACAGUUCGCGUUUGGUGUCCGAAGUGAAUGAUAAUAUCCAGUGCACAUGAUUGAAAUAUUGUGUAAAUUGUGUUCCAAACAUUCUGCAUGAAAAUGUAACAAAACGAUUUUUGUAGGUGAACAUAGAUACUCCGUAAUGUUUUGUUAAUGAAUUCAUUAAAGCCGCAAAUAUAAAUUAUUGUAAAACGUUUGUCACCUCUAUUAGAAACAAAAUUGUUUCCGAUUUAAAUAUACUUUUGGAAAUAUUUAAUUAUUUGUCGCUGCUCACAAUAAAUAACGAGCUACUACAAGUCUAUACUUUGGAUAUUGUACUCAUACAAUUACUCCUUUGACAUUGCAGCCUUAAUUUUUAAUUGUGAAGAUUCCUUUUAAUACAUUUGUGUAUAUCUGCCUUAAUACAAAAAGUAAGGCAUUGAAAUCUAAAAGGGUACAAAUGACAAAGUGAUUUUAACAGUAUUUAAUGAAACAACUCAAAUUUAUAAAUACCAGAUAUCUUUUUGAUCAACAGUACAGAUAUCAAGUAUGGUCGGAAUAACUUCAAUCAAUUUUAUGUUUAUCAAUUAAAGCUUUAUUACUAAGCAAAUGUAAAGAGAACCAGUAAUUCAAGUUAAAAUGAUGUGACAGGACCAUACCAGGAUUUAAUUAUGCAAUUAUUUCGAAAAGAAUAAACAUCAUUUAAUAUCUAAACCACUUUUGAAAUGUUCUGAUACAAAUUUAAAUGCUUUAAUUCAACAUGUAUUUUUCAUCUAUUUUAAAACAUAAUUCCAUUGUACUACAUAAUUCCGCAAUUACUCGCCAUAUAAGGUAAACGAUAUUUCCUAUA
This is a long non-coding RNA of Teleopsis dalmanni, 895 nucleotides long. RefSeq lists it as uncharacterized. Lineage: Eukaryota; Metazoa; Arthropoda; Insecta; Diptera; Diopsidae. The record is from RefSeq and is a predicted model, not a curated record. The transcript has 3 exons.